This is a long non-coding RNA of Serinus canaria (Common canary), 424 nucleotides long. RefSeq lists it as uncharacterized. The record is from RefSeq and is a predicted model, not a curated record. NCBI's taxonomy places the organism in Eukaryota, Metazoa, Chordata, Aves, Passeriformes, Fringillidae. The transcript is spliced from 3 exons.
CGCCAUGGCGGCAGCGGCGGUAGUGUCAGCGGCAGGCGGGCACUUCUCACCACGGGCGCCGGCUGAGCGCUCCGCCCCGCGCGUGCGCCACCGCGCCCGGGAACCGCCCGCGCUGCCCCCUGGCGGCCGCUACUGGUCUUUCAAAAGUGCAUCCAGCUCAUUCUCAUCAAUGAAGCCAUUUCCAUCCUGGAUAGUGCGGGAGGGACAUCAACAGCAGGAAGAACACAAGCCCUGCAAUUCCCCCUUGGACAUGGGCAUCCCCAGACCCUCACUCGGCACAGCCAGAGAUUGUCCUUCUUUGAGUCCUGCCAACAAGGAGAGAGGGAAUGGGAGCAUUUUCCCCCUUUCCUGUGCCGGUCUUCUCCUGCUUUCUUCCCAGAGGAGUUCCAGUCCCACUCAUGAGUGCCCAGAGGAGGUGGGGCUG